RNAcentral lists this ribosomal RNA (468 nucleotides) under uncultured bacterium. RNAcentral describes it as "partial 16S ribosomal RNA". It matches the Rfam family "Bacterial small subunit ribosomal RNA", at positions 28 to 507 of the family's 1533-position model. The record is from RNAcentral.
GACGAACGCUGGCGGCGUGCUUAACACAUGCAAGUCGAACGGAAAGGCCCUGCUUUUGUGGGGUGCUCGAGUGGCGAACGGGUGAGUAACACGUGAGUAACCUGCCCUUGACUUUGGGAUAACUUCAGGAAACUGGGGCUAAUACCGGUUAGGAGCUCCUGCUGCAUGGUGGGGGUUGGAAAGUUUCGGCGGUUGGGGAUGGACUCGCGGCUUAUCAGCUUGUUGGUGGGGUAGUGGCUUACCAAGGCUUUGACGGGUAGCCGGCCUGAGAGGGUGACCGGCCACAUUGGGACUGAGAUACGGCCCAGACUCCUACGGGAGGCAGCAGUGGGGAAUAUUGCACAAUGGGCGGAAGCCUGAUGCAGCAACGCCGCGUGCGGGAUGACGGCCUUCGGGUUGUAAACCGCUUGCGCCUGUGACGAAGCGUGAGUGACGGUAAUGGGUAAAGAAGCACCGGCUAACUACGUG